Molecule: ribosomal RNA, 497 nt
Filed under: uncultured bacterium
Lineage: Bacteria
Description: partial 16S ribosomal RNA
Rfam family: Bacterial small subunit ribosomal RNA
Source: RNAcentral
GAUGAACGCUGGCGGCGUGCCUAAUACAUGCAAGUCGAGCGAACAGACGAGGAGCUUGCUCCUCUGACGUUAGCGGCGGACGGGUGAGUAACACGUGGAUAACCUACCUAUAAGACUGGGAUAACUUCGGGAAACCGGAGCUAAUACCGGAUAACAUGUUCAACCGCAUGGUUCAACAGUGAAAGACGGUCUUGCUGUCACUUAUAGAUGGAUCCGCGCCGCAUUAGCUAGUUGGUAAGGUAACGGCUUACCAAGGCAACGAUGCGUAGCCGACCUGAGAGGGUGAUCGGCCACACUGGAACUGAGACACGGUCCAGACUCCUACGGGAGGCAGCAGUAGGGAAUCUUACGCAAUGGGCGAAAGCCUGACGGAGCAACGCCGCGUGAGUGAAGAAGGUCUUCGGAUCGUAAAACUCUGUUAUUAGGGAAGAACAAAUGUGUAAGUAACUAUGCACGUCUUGACGGUACCUAAUCAGAAAGCCACGGCUAACUACGUG